UGUAGGAGCUGGCUUGCCUGCGAUAGCGGAAUUUCAGUCGCUGAUAUGCCAGCUGACAGUCCGCUAUCGCAGGCAAGCCAGCUCCCACA
This 89-nucleotide unclassified non-coding RNA is filed under the name Pseudomonas gessardii. The record is from RNAcentral. Lineage: Bacteria; Pseudomonadati; Pseudomonadota; Gammaproteobacteria; Pseudomonadales; Pseudomonadaceae.